RNAcentral lists this ribosomal RNA (253 nucleotides) under uncultured bacterium. RNAcentral's name for it is "partial 16S ribosomal RNA". It matches the Rfam family "Bacterial small subunit ribosomal RNA", at positions 524 to 776 of the family's 1533-position model. The record is from RNAcentral.
UACAGAGGUCCCGAGCGUUGUUCGGAUUCAUUGGGCGUAAAGGGUGCGUAGGCGGCACACCAAGUCGGAUGUGAAAUCCCUCGGCUCAACCAAGGAAGUGCAUCCGAAACUGGCGAGCUUGAGUACGGGAGAGGAUCGCGGAAUUCCCGGUGUAGAGGUGAAAUUCGUAGAUAUCGGGAGGAACACCAGUGGCGAAGGCGGCGAUCUGGCCUAGUACUGACGCUGAGGUGCGAAAGCGUGGGGAGCAAACAGG